GACGAACGCUGGCGGCGUGCUUAACACAUGCAAGUCGAACGGAAAGGCCCUGCUUUUGUGGGGUGCUCGAGUGGCGAACGGGUGAGUAACACGUGAGUAACCUGCCCUUGACUUUGGGAUAACUUCAGGAAACUGGGGCUAAUACCGGAUAGGAGCCCCUGCUGCAUGGUGGGGGUUGGAAAGUUUCGGCGGUUGGGGAUGAACUCGCGGCUUAUCAGCUUGUUGGUGGGGUAGUGGCUUACCAAGGCUUUGACGGGUAGCCGGCCUGAGAGGGUGACCGGCCACAUUGGGACUGAGAUACGGCCCAGACUCCUACGGGAGGCAGCAGUGGGGAAUAUUGCACAAUGGGCGGAAGCCUGAUGCAGCAACGCCGCGUGCGGGAUGACGGCCUUCGGGUUGUAAACCGCUUUCGCCUGUGACGAAGCGUGAGUGACGGUAAUGGGUAAAGAAGCACCGGCUAACUACGUG
Molecule: ribosomal RNA, 468 nt
Filed under: uncultured bacterium
Lineage: Bacteria
Description: partial 16S ribosomal RNA
Rfam family: Bacterial small subunit ribosomal RNA
Source: RNAcentral